RNAcentral lists this transfer RNA (87 nucleotides) under Saitozyma sp. JCM 24511. RNAcentral's name for it is "tRNA-Arg". It matches the Rfam family "tRNA". From Rfam's summary of the family: Transfer RNA (tRNA) molecules are approximately 80 nucleotides in length. Their secondary structure includes four short double-helical elements and three loops (D, anti-codon, and T loops). Further hydrogen bonds mediate the characteristic L-shaped molecular structure. tRNAs have two regions of fundamental functional importance: the anti-codon, which is responsible for specific mRNA codon recognition, and the 3' end, to which the tRNAs corresponding amino acid is attached (by aminoacyl-tRNA synthetases). tRNAs cope with the degeneracy of the genetic code in two manners: having more than one tRNA (with a specific anti-codon) for a particular amino acid; and 'wobble' base-pairing, i.e. permitting non-standard base-pairing at the 3rd anti-codon position. Lineage: Eukaryota; Fungi; Basidiomycota; Tremellomycetes; Tremellales; Trimorphomycetaceae. The record is from RNAcentral.
GCGUGCUUGGUGCAGUGGUAGCAUGCCUCUUUCCGGCUUACGUAAGCGGUUCGGAGGUGGUCACAGGUUCGACCCCUGUAGUACGCU